UUCUCAUUUUUGUUUUUUAAUUUUCAGAUUCGUGUGCCCUUCGGAAUACCUGGACCGGAGGCGGACAAGAGGCUGGCCGAUAUGUUUUACAAGUUUUGAUGGCACCGAACGGUAAUUUUAUAUCUUGAACCAACGGCGUUAAUGUUCCUUCGAUCUCAUGAAUUAGGUCUUUCUAUUGAUGAUGAUUUCGAUCAUUUCUUUUUCCCAUAAUUAUAAGUUUAAAUCUAGUGGAUGCUCAUAAUUGUUUGGUAUUUGCACAAUAUUGUUGGGAAAUUUUUUAUUGGAACUCAAUUUUGGUGUAUGUUAUCCUGCUUUGAAAUUAUCGAUGUUGAUCAAGAAGUUUAGAUUUUUUAUUAAUUCUCAUAGAUCUUUAUAUUCUUACGUAAUUUGUUUUGCCUUCAGGUUUGUUCACCGUUCUGGGAUUUGAUGUGAAGGCUAAGCUCAUUGUUCAUCUUUAAGGUGCAAAGCCUGGAUGUGUGAUAAAUAAUUUUGAGCCGCUAAUUUGGCAUGGCUAAUUGAUCAUGCGGGUAGGCUUGUGCCGCAUAAUUGGGAGUGAAUUGCGGGAUUGUGGAGGGUUUUAUAAUGGAUGUAAGAGAUGCAUCAGGACAGAGAAGCCUGAAAUUAAGAUGGCUGAGACCUGAUUAUUCUUUGUCAUCCGGCCUUUGCCAUGGCAGGUGCGCUUGCAUGGCAGGUCACCAAAAUCUUAAUAAAAAAUAUUUAUUUUGUGGUCCUGAGGGGAGAUCGCACGGGAGUUGCCCGGGUUCUCCUCUCCUGAGUGUUGUUCUUGUGUGUGUGGGUGUCAUUCUCCGUUUCUGUUGCCUUUUGCUAGAGUUGACACUAUCAAUCCAUUGGAUUUGCAUUCUAAAUCAGCCUCAGCUCAAAAUCACCAUGCUUAUAAACCAAUCCACUUGCAGUUCGCGAAAGGUUUGGUAUCAUGCCCUGCUGACUUUUAAGACAGAACAUAUUUGCAAAAUACUGUGCUUUAAUUAAUAUACAAGACCUAUCCAUGCAGUCAGUUCAAUUUUAACAUUCCAACGUUGAUUUAUCCUAUUUGAACUAUCAUUUUUUUGGCUUUAAAAUUUGCCUCUAGAGAUAAGCAAGUAUUCUAUUGUUGGCUUUAAAAUUUGCCUUUAGAGAUAGGUUUCCUUUUUAUGUUUAUUUUUUGCCUUACCCUAAUUUGGUAACUUGCCAGUAGCAAUGAUGAAUUACUGAGAUAAUGGUUCAUUUAGGAAGGUAAGAUAGUUCAUCCCUGUCCAACCAUCAGGAAUAAAGAGAAGACUGAUUGUGAGCAGGCACGGGGGUAUGUGGAGUUAGUACGAUUGACGGGAACUUGGUUCUUUGCAUUUGCCGUCAAGUAAAUUACAGUUUGUUCCCUUUGCUAGGUUCAUUGGAGUACAAAUGUUCUAUAUCAAGCUGAGGAACUAUUGCCGCUGCUUAUUGUCCAAAUCUGUCUCUUAUGAACAAAUUCCAAAAUGAAUGAAUUGCAGAUCAUAUUUCUGAAAUUAUUAUCAAAGUAUUCCAAAAUGGAUUGUGCGAAGUGUGCGGCCACCAUUAAUGUUUGAAGUGCUUGGUUUAGUUUAGUGGUUGAAGGGCAUCUUGCUCUCAGGGAAUUACCUCUGAUAUUGGAUCAUGAAUAUCUUGUGAUGUAAGAGGCUUGAAUAAGCAAUGGUGUGCCUUCAUGCCUUAUUUAGCAUAGGCGACUGAAAUGGGCUAAGCAAUAACAUUUGAGCCAGAUUUAUAAUCUCAUUGUAUUUGCUGUGGGAGAGCUUUGAAUGUUCUAUCGGUCGGAUGAUUUCAUGCGGAGCCACUCGUAUGUCACUCUUCAAUUGUCGGGAAUUUGGAGAGGUGAUUCUCAGCACUCUCUUUCAGCAAUUAUUUUAUUAUAUUAAUUCAGUAUGAUUUGAGUUGAGAAUUAAUUUUUUGCAUUGGGUACACACAAUCUAUGAAUGCAAUAGGCACAAGCAUAUCUGAUGAUGAUGGAAGAUGUGUUAUGUUAGUGGGAUGUCCUGGAUUUAAUGUUUGAAAGGUAGGUGGGCUGCUGCAUACAGUAUGCAGGCCUUUAGGUUGAUGCUUGGGUCUUUUAGGUCAUCUUAGAGUAGAACCUUGAUGCAAAACAGCUGCUGUUCUUUGUCCAAUGGUAGAUUAGUUUUGGUUUGGUUUGGAAAUGCUUCUAAUAAUUUGCUUUGAGGUUGCUAAUGUAUUAUUAGAAAGGCGUCAUAAUGUGCUUUUAAUUGUAUAAUAGGUGCUUGGUUUUAUAAUUAUAAUGCACUUCUCAAUACUUGAAUAAAUAGUUUAAUAUUAAUUUAUUUUAGUAUUCAUCUUUUGUAAUUAUUUAUUAUUCCAAAAUUUUAAAAGCUUUACAUCUCUGAUUGUAAAUUGUUAAUUUAAAUGUCUUUUUAUUUUUUUAAAAAUCUUUGUAAAAUUAUUUUAGAGAGAUUAGAAACCUUUUUUUCUUUUAAAUUUGCAAGGAUCACUUGAGAAUAAGCAUUCUAAUACCCUUUGAGCGCCCCCCCCCCCCCCCCCCAAAAAAAAAGUCAAAAAACACUAAGUCUGUUCUAAUAGCAAGAGCCAUUGCGCUUACGAUUCUUCAUGAAGCAUUUUGAAACACGCUGUAAUUUGGACUUCCGAGCUCUAGGUUCAUGGAGAACCUGAGAUGAGAGGACUUGUAAUUUGUAUCCGAGUGGGGUAGCUUAGCUCUUGUAAUAUUCUUCUCACUGUUGACAAUUGGUAGGUCGAAAGGUGGACAAGUGGUGAUUGUUAUCCUUUCUAUGAUUUUGUACUUUUUGUAUCCAUGUGAAAAUAUAUAGUAUUGUACAAAUUUUUGUGAUUUUGGUGUACGCAUGGUUCGGGCUGCUGUACAAGUGAAGAAAUGCAUGGUUGUUUUCUUAGGCCAUUUUUUUUAUUUUUUUUGCUGUUGCUCUCUUAUGCCAUGAUGGAGGUGCUGACGUUAAUGAAGUUUUCCAAAUUUUCAUUUAGUAUUCCUGCUGCCUUUUCAAUCUUAUGGUUAAUUCCUGAUGCCUUUUUGAUCCUAUGGUUGUUUUCUAUUUUCUUAUAUUUUUAAAUUUGAAAGAGGAUUUGAUAACUGUUAAUGAGCAUUUGAUGACUCUAAUGACAAUGAGAAUGGUUGUUUUCUAUUUUCUUUUAGAUAGAAUUGAAAAAAUUGUAAAUGAGCAUUUGAUAACUGGUGAUUUUAUGGUGGGCCCUAUUGAAAAUGGUUGUUUUCUAUUUUCCUUUAGAUGGAAUUGAACAAAUUGUGUACGUUUAAUUUUCAUUGAACUCCCAGCGCAUUUUGUGUUAUUUCACAUUCCGUUUUCAUUUUGUGUUCAUGGAAAAUGAAAAUCUUGUUUGGCAGCCUCAAAUGACUCUUGAUAUUUUUAAAGGAACUUCUUUCAAAUUAGACCACAAAUUCAUUUUACUUUAUUAUUAGGUUAUAAAUUGUGUUUGUAAAUGCACAAAAAAUAAUUCAAGAGCGUAAUGUAAGGAGUAAUAAGCCAAUGCACCGUCUCCAUCUCCUCGCUUAAUGGGAACACAAAAUAUGAUGUGUUCUUUCCUUCCCCAUGUGUUAGUUUGGGUCUUCAGACCGGUUUUAUCGUCUUUUGUGAAUCAUUUGGGGAGCAACUUUCGGAUUCAUAAAAGAAUUAGGAGGGAUAAGUUUACUUAGUAAUAUGUUUUUUAAACUUUUAUGUAGGAGUGGAUAUUUUGGAAAGACGUCUUACAACGAUACAAUGGAAAGAUACUGAGGUAAUUGAAGUUAUUAUUUAAAUUGUGGUUUUGUUUAGUAUUGUUGGGCAGUCAUAUCUUAAAAAUUAAAGUAUUUAUCAUGUAUUAGUUGUUUGAAAAGUUGAUUUGAUAUACUAUUAGUAUGAUGAAAAUUUUGUAAUAUAUUUGUUAUUUUUGUCAAAUUAUUGUUUAAAAGGCAUAUUUAUUGUAUAUUAUUAAUUUUUACUUUUUGUUAUAAUUUUUUUAGGUUUAUAUUAUUAACUCGAUUUUUUUGUUGUAAUUUUUUUUUUUUUUAAGUUGCAUCAUAAUAACAACUGAACAGAGAUUUUAAAAUUGUAAGCUUAUUUUGGAGUUGCAGUUUACUAGUAUGAGUUAGGGCCAAUGGGAUAUGAGAAAGAUAUGUUAGCUCAAAGUGGUCAGAGGUAUAGGGGUGGGCGUGGGUUGUGUUGGAUAGGGUUUGUGAAAAUUUUACUCAACUUAUUGUUGAAUAAGUUGAGAUAAAAUUAAUCUAAUUUGAUUAAUAAAACAUUUUUUUUUUUAAGGAAUAAAACAUGUUUAAACUAAUUCAACUCUACUCUUAAAUCAUCAGGUUGGGUUGAUUGAGUUAAAAGUGAAAUUAAAAUUAAAAAUUAUAUAAAAAAGAAUGAAAUUUGAAGUGAAAUUAUUGAAAUUAAAUAAAAAUUUAUUGCAACAUGAAUUUUAUUUAAUGUCUAGUUUUUUGAAAAAGACAGAUGGAAAAUUGACCUUUCAAAAUAAAGAGAAGCUCGAUAAUGUGUUUUGGACUUAAUUCCUGGCUUCAUGUAUUUGUACCUGGAAUUCCAAAUUCAGGAUUGAUAUGGUCUAGUUGCAAAAUGGAAGUGAUACGUGAUAUUAUUUAUUGUUGUGUUUUACCUUGAAAAAAAAAAAGAGAGAGGAGAUAAAUUGAAACUAAUUCAUUUGCAAGAUUAAACUUAUAAAAUAAUAAAUUUGUUUAUAUGAAAGUGGCUUUAGUUUUAGAAUUAGAGUUUAGAGGAGCAUAUAACAAUAAAAAGAGUUAAAAAUUUUGUUUAGUCACUUAGGAUUUUACAAUUGAGUAUUAAAUUAUUUCAUUAUUAUUUUGACCCAAUCUAAUUAUUAAUUGGAUUCGAAAAAAAUUAUGUCAAUUCAUCCGUGAUAAUUCAUUGAACCCAUGAAAAUUUGGUGGGGUUGGAUGGAUUCGUUGGGUUGGAUUUGCCCACUCUUACUUAGAGCAUUCAAUCUUGUGCUGAUUUUAAGUUAAUAGUGCAUUUACUAAUUGGUGAUAGGAAUGGGAUAAAUUAGAAUUAAAAUGGACUGGAGUCAAAAUAAGGAACUGAAAUUAAAAUAAAUUGUGUACUAUUGGAAUUAGAAUGAGCAACCAGAAUGGAUGAUUGCAAGUUAAUUAUUGUUAUUAUUUAUUAUAAUAAUUUGUAAUUAUGAUUAUUAUUUUGAUAAUAAUUGUUGUUAAUAAUGAUAACAAUAACAAUGACACUUAAUAAAAAUAAUAAUAGUACCUAUUAUUAAUAUAAUAAGAAUAACAUUAAUAAAUAAUGAUGAUGAUGAUGAUUUUAUUAUUAUUAUCAUUAUUCUCCAUGAGUAAUGAAAGAUUUACUUGUAAAUGUUACAAAAUUUCUGAAGGGAUUAAAAUGUGAAAGUGAUAAAAACUCAAUUGUGUGUGAUUUGAAGAUUAUAAAAAUUUAGUUUGGGUAAAAUGAGGAGUUGAAUAAAUGAGAAUUUGAUUUUCAUCCUCAUCAAGUCCUCAUUUUUUGACCCUAAAAGCUUGUGUGCUCUACAUGUUUUAUUCAUUUUUUCGUGUACUAACAAGUAACCAUCAUUUCUUUUUGGGAUUUAUAUUCCAUAAACGUACAAGUAAACACACUAUUAUUGCUUUCACAUACUGACUUGUGGUCCGGUUUUCACUAGUUUUAAGAUCUUGAUUUAGAAGAUUUCAUGUUGCAUGUAUUAUUUGGUCUUUAAGGGUGAUACAAAGAGCCCCAGGGAUCUCAGCAUCUUUUAUUGAUGGAAUUGUUGAUAAUAACCUGAAGUGUGAGAAUAGAACUAUUGUAAUAGAUACAAAAUAUAUUAUUUUGAUUUGUGAAUGUGCUGAAAUUUGUAUCCAAAGAAAGCUAAUGUUGAUUGUGUGGUAUUUCUAUCCAAUUUGUUUCUCAGUGGCGUUGGUGUGAAGUUGGCGUGGUCCAUGACCAUGAGCUUUAUUAAAGUAAGUCUAGUCGAUAUCGAGAGCAAGCUGAAGGGGCAAGUUUUGGCUUUUACUUAAAUUCUUUCGCAAUAUGUUAUAGAAAAAAAUGUAAAUAGUCUUCUGUUGUGAUGGGCAUAAUUUAAUUAUAUAUUUCUCAUUUAUCGUUUAUCUGUUAGUUUAUUUUAUUUAUAUUUUUAGUUAACUAAUCUAUUUUUAUUAAACUAGGUUAAAAAUUGAAUAUUAAGAAAUAAAUUGUGCUUAAAGGAUUCAAAUUGGAGAAAAAUUGAAGAUUAUUUGGAUUUAUUAUUGGCGGGCUUGUGGCUAACAAAGUUUGUUGGUCCAAUUUACAAGAAGAGCACGUGGCAGGCAAGCCAAUUGGAAUCCACUAGUUUCCUUAUUGAUCACGGAUUUCGGGAUUUGAAAGAAGAGCACGUGGAGGGCAAGCCAAUUGGAAGGCAUUAGUUUCCUUAUUGAUCAUGGAUUUGGAAGAGGCCAAAGGGCUAUCAAAUAGGUCGCCCAGGUAAUAUAUAUCAGCCACGCUCUUGGCUUUCGAUGAGGGGGCUGCCGACGGCAAUCGGAGAAGCAGCCACGGUUUGAGAACAAGAGAAUCCAGCCGUUUGGAUUAAUUUUAAUGACUGAUUUUAUCUAUUCUUUUAUUUUCAAUUUAAUUAUGUGCGGCAAAAUUUGUUAUGCUAUCAUCAAAGAUGACACCCUGUUUAAUGAAAGAAAUUACUUUUAAUUUAAUUAAUUCCUUAUAUGUGUGCUUUGAUGUUGUUAAUUGUUCUUAUUUCACAUAUUUAAUUGAAUAUGAUUAAAUUUUUUC
RNAcentral lists this long non-coding RNA (6737 nucleotides) under Citrus maxima (pomelo). RNAcentral describes it as "long non-coding RNA (CMAX_LNC002766)". The record is from RNAcentral. Lineage: Eukaryota; Viridiplantae; Streptophyta; Magnoliopsida; Sapindales; Rutaceae.